Carassius auratus (goldfish) is the source of this 950-nucleotide long non-coding RNA. RefSeq lists it as uncharacterized. The transcript has 3 exons. NCBI's taxonomy places the organism in Eukaryota, Metazoa, Chordata, Actinopteri, Cypriniformes, Cyprinidae. The record is from RefSeq and is a predicted model, not a curated record.
CCUUGCCGCCUGGGAUUUUAAACGCGAGCGCCAAAAGCGGAACUAAUGUGACGCAACGUUCUACACGGGUAAAUUAGUGCAGCGCACCCAAACACAUUAGGAACUUAAUCAUAUUCAGGGAUGCAAACAUCGCACUUUUUCACAUCAGUUUGGGUGACUUGGGUCUGAUUUUAAUUUCUCAAAGUCAUCUGAAGCAAUUCCAUAGCUUAAUGUUAUGAACAGAAGACUAUUUACAUCAUUAAAUUAAAGUUUACGGAAACCUUGUUUUCCCUCCUCUGCGGCUGUAAAUCAUUCUCCAUUCAGUAAAUAGCGCGCACCUCGUCCAUUUACAGCAGGAUGCAUGGCCUUCAGGGAGGCAGAUCACCUGAUAUUCAGAGGACUCCAGUCUCAGCUGUUCCUCUGUUUUCUCCGAAUCCCCAUGAAGGGUCGCUGGUUUAAUGUGUUCUUCGUGUCAGAUAUGAGCUUUCUGGAGCCCUGAGGGUCAUUACAGGCGUCUUACAUCAACAUUUACUGCUACAGUGUGAUGAAAACAGGACAGACGCUACAGAAUCCAUUCAUGCACCUGUUGACAAGAUCAGCUGCUCUUUCCAGCACAUGAAGGGUUAAAAGAUGCAUGUUUUGGCCCGUCAACACCUUCCUGAGUGAGUAAACACUCACUUUAGGAUCAAGAGUGUGGCGUGCCAAAAAUCUCAUUCACUAGAGAGGCAGUAAAUCUGUCUUACCUUCAGCCGCGGGACACAGAGACAGCAAGACGCCUGUCACACACACACACACACACACACACCUUACUGUGCUUGAAGAGCGUGUCAACACAAUGGAGAACUUAUGUGGAAAUAGCUGAAACUGAAAUCUUGAUUGACUGGAAUCCCUCCAGUGUUUCUCAGAGAGAGAGCAGUCCAAUCAAAUCAAACGGAGAGCACAUUUGUUUUUUAGUUUUUCUGUUUUUCACA